RNAcentral lists this long non-coding RNA (232 nucleotides) under Malus domestica (apple). RNAcentral describes it as "long non-coding RNA (MDOM_LNC015612)". Lineage: Eukaryota; Viridiplantae; Streptophyta; Magnoliopsida; Rosales; Rosaceae. The record is from RNAcentral.
GCUUCAUCCGCCCCUCUCUGAAUAUCCCUGUGGAAUAUGUUGUUUCGCUACUGGUCUCCUUUUGUCUCUCUCUCACUCUCUUCUUUGUUCCUCUGUGUGCUUUCCGUCGGACGAGACGGGAAAUUAGUCGGUGAAUGAUUGCAGAGGAGUGGCGCCCGGGGUGGAGAACUCGUCGAGGAACUGCUCGAAGGCCCACUUUGAGAAGUCGUUAACGACGGCUUCGUGAAGUUGG